AUGCAUUUUACGGGGUGUAUUGAA
RNAcentral lists this non-coding RNA (24 nucleotides) under Arabidopsis thaliana (thale cress). Lineage: Eukaryota; Viridiplantae; Streptophyta; Magnoliopsida; Brassicales; Brassicaceae. The record is from RNAcentral.